GAGGAAUAUUGGUCAAUGGGCGGAAGCUUGAACCAGCCAUCCCGCGUGCAGGAAGACAGCCCUAUGGGUUGUAAACUGCUUUUCCAGUGGGCGAAACACUCGUACGUGUACGAGAUUGACGGUACACUGGGAAUAAGCAUCGGCUAACUCCGUGCCAGCAGCCGCGGUAAUACGGAGGAUGCAAGCGUUAUCCGGAUUUAUUGGGUUUAAAGGGUGCGUAGGCGGAUGAAUAAGUCAGUGGUGAAAGGCUGCAGCUUAACUGUAGACUUGCCGUUGAUACUGUUUAUCUUGAGUAUGGUCAAGGCAGGCGGAAUGUGUAAUGUAGCGGUGAAAUGCUUAGAUAUUACACAGAACACCGAUUGCGAAGGCAGCUUGCUGGGCCAUUACUUACGCUGAUGCACGAAAGCGUUGUGAGCGAACAG
This 422-nucleotide ribosomal RNA is filed under the name uncultured bacterium. Its description in RNAcentral is "bacterial SSU rRNA". It matches the Rfam family "Bacterial small subunit ribosomal RNA", at positions 356 to 775 of the family's 1533-position model. The record is from RNAcentral.